Saccostrea cuccullata (small rock oyster) is the source of this 764-nucleotide long non-coding RNA. RefSeq lists it as uncharacterized. The transcript is spliced from 3 exons. NCBI's taxonomy places the organism in Eukaryota, Metazoa, Mollusca, Bivalvia, Ostreida, Ostreidae. The record is from RefSeq and is a predicted model, not a curated record.
UUUUGGCCUCCAGUGGUAUAGAUUAUGACAUUAAGCUGUGGAUGCCUCUAGAAGAAAAUCCCAAGUUUGAGGAGGAAGUAGCUGCUGAGAUCAUGAGGCGUAAUGAAGUGAUGCUGGAGGAGACAAGAGACACCAUUACCGUUCCUGCGGCUUUUAUGCUGCGUGUUUUGGCCUCCCUCAACCAGAUCAGAGCAGGUCGUGCAUCCUCCAGCAAUGAAGCUGUGGCCGAGAACGACAGCUCAUCAAGUGAUUCCGAGUGACUUUGACAAUUACUGAUUUUACUUUUUCCUCUCUUCUUUAUGACUCUCAACUGAAAAGAUGUCUUAUAAAAGACUCCAAGUAUGCUAAAAGCCGAAUAUAGUCAGCUUAAAAGUGAAGUGUGAUUCCGAAUUACAGAGGUUGAUUUGAUUGUUUUGAGUGUUAUUUUAAACUCUCACCUACAUUUAAGUUUCUGGCUUCAUAUAAAUACUUUACAGGUUAUAUGUAUAUGAUUACAUACUGUAUGUUGACAUUGUUGCUGAUUUUAUGCUUUGAAGCAAAUUAAAAUAAAUCAGAUCAGUAAAUUUAGCUUGUUCUAUAUAUUGUGUCUUUAUUAUUGGACAUUCUUCUUAAUGGUAGCUAAUCAACAAUGACAAUAAAUAAGGCAAUACAGAGUUCAAGCUACAUUUUUAAUGCAUUGUCAUAAAAUUUAAAAGAAACACAGCAUAGUUAAUUUGGAAAAAUUGAACAUUAUAUUUUCUCUAAGGAAGUGUUAAAGUAAUUUA